CCUACGGGAGGCUGCAGUGGGGGAUAUUGCACAAUGGGGGGAACCCUGAUGCAGCGACGCCGCGUGGGUGAAGAAGCGCCUCGGCGCGUAAAGCCCUGUCAGCAGGGAAGAAAAUGACGGUACCUGAAGAAGAAGCCCCGGCUAACUACGUGCCAGCAGCCGCGGUAAUACGUAGGGGGCAAGCGUUAUCCGGAUUUACUGGGGGUAAAGGGGGGGCAGGCGGCGAUGCAAGCCAGGAGUGGAAGCCCGGGGCCCAACCCCGGGACUGCUCUGGGAACUGGGUGGCUGGAGUGCAGGAGGGGCAGGCGGAAUUCAGGGUGUAGCGGGGAAAUGCGGAGAUACCAGGAGGAACACCGGUGGCGAAGGGGGCCUGCUGGACUGCAACUGACGUUGAGGCCCGAAAGCGUGGGGAGCAAACAGGAUUAGAUACCCGGGUAGUC
RNAcentral lists this ribosomal RNA (440 nucleotides) under uncultured bacterium. RNAcentral's name for it is "partial 16S ribosomal RNA". It matches the Rfam family "Bacterial small subunit ribosomal RNA", at positions 338 to 795 of the family's 1533-position model. The record is from RNAcentral.